UGCAGUUAGUAUAAAAACUACAUCGACCCAUUUUUUGUACAAUGUAUAUGCGGGUAUGAGAAAAACUUUUCUCCGGUCAGAGUGCCAUCAAUAUUGGUGGCAACUUCAUGUGGCAACAAAGUGUCAACUAUCUCAUCACAUGUAAAAAAAUUUGAUUUGCAUGUUAUCUAAUUUAGAGGAUGCUCAAAGGAGGAACUUCAUCAAUAUUAUCAAAGGGAAGAUUGAGAUUCAGACGUACACAGAGACUAAAAAAAAAAAAAAAAAAAAAAAAACCCAAGGUAUAGAAUCUUUGAAUGCUAAUGUUCUGUUAUAAACUUAUAACUACAAGUGAAAAAAUAUUUUGUAUGUUUUGUGACGACAAUUAUACCAAAAAGUCCUUACAGAAAAAUGUAGAAGCUUGAUGAUCUCAGGUUUGACGUUGGCCAACUUGCUGAAUCUAAAACAUUUGAUGAAGGAUUAUGUGUUGCUUGGUUUAGAUGAAAGGAAAAAUAAAGGAGUGAAUUUUACUAAAAGAAUGGUUUUGUUCAAAAUAUUAUCAUGUGUGAAUAUGAACAUUGCCACCUCAUGAGAAACAAACAUCUCCAAAGGACCUGUGACAUCUUAUGGGAAAGACAGAGAACAACUUGCAAUGGCCUAAGGAUAUGGUGAAACUACAAAAAAAAAGAAAAAAACAAAAAAAAAAAGUGAUUUAUCUUUAUUUCUUCUUUAGAUUGAUGCAUUUAUCCACUUAAAAACUUAGUUCAUAUUAGUUUUAUUAAUAAAAAAACAUAUUGCAAAGGUAUAAUUUGGUACAGUCUUCAAAAUAAAAUGUAAGAUAAGAAUCAAGUAUACAAUGAUGCAGCAGAUAGAAAUCAAAAAAAUAAGAUGUUGUAAAAAAUAUUAUUAGUAACUGCAACAUGUUUAUAACGCUAUUAAUAACUAAAAUUUUAAAGUAUUUUAAUUUUUUUUAACCAAAGUUGUAAUAAACUGACUGUACACCACCCUUCACCGUAGGAAAUUGUUGGAGAAUGUGGCAAGCACUCAUCAAAACCCGACACAUGUAGACGUUCCCAUUUCCAAAGUACUCAACGGGUUGCUAAGUGAAUGUGGAUUCUUGAAACAAAUUGGUAUGUCUAUUUGAAAAACUAAAUCACAAAUGUGUAUUCUUAUUCAUUUGUUUAUUUAUUUGUAGAUUGUAUCAUUCUACUUUCCUUUUUUCAUGAUUAUAGCAUUUAUGUAACCUUUACAUGGUUAACUUUGGGGUGCCAAAUCUACUUAAUUAGGUAUCUCACUACAAGAAAAAUCCUAAAUAGCUACGGAAAGUUGCUACGAAAUCAAAAUUUGUUGCUACUUUACUAUGAAAUAUGCUACAGAACGACUUGUUGUAGCUAUUUUGCUACCAAA
Lactuca sativa (garden lettuce) is the source of this 1383-nucleotide non-coding RNA. NCBI's taxonomy places the organism in Eukaryota, Viridiplantae, Streptophyta, Magnoliopsida, Asterales, Asteraceae. The record is from RefSeq and is a predicted model, not a curated record.